This 4470-nucleotide long non-coding RNA is filed under the name Homo sapiens (human). Its description in RNAcentral is "HSALNT0211404". The record is from RNAcentral. Lineage: Eukaryota; Metazoa; Chordata; Mammalia; Primates; Hominidae.
CUCAAUCUCCCAGGCUCAAGCGAUCUUCCUGCCUGAGCCUCCAGAGUAGCUGGGACUAUAGGUGCCUGCCACCAUGCCUGACUGAUUUUUUAUUUUUUUGUAGAGAUGGGGUUUCACCAUGUUGCUCAGGGUGGUCUUGAACUCCUGGACUCAAGUGAUCCACUCCCUUCAGCCUACCCAGGUGCUGGGAUUACAGGGUGAAUAGAACACUGAUUCUUACAUAGCCUGUGAGCAAGAACAGGGUGAUUUUGGUGGAAAUAAAAUGCAACAUGAGUUUUCCCAGCCAGCCACGCGAGGUCCUCAGCUGAGGGACAGCAAGAUUGAAGGACGAUCGAAAUGAAAGAGAAGGUUAACUACGGCACAGAAUUUCCAAUGGGGACUGUGUUAGAGGUGGUAGCCAUGAGACAGGGCCAGCUGACACCCGUGGGGACGCACUGCAGCAGCUGGAUGAAUGAGGGCUAUGAGCGACAAUGAGUUUGGAGCCGAUUUUGCCAUAGGUCAGAGAGAACAGCUGGCAGGAUGUCAUCUCCCCAUCUCCAACCAGCAAAUAGGUGGCAAUCUUUUACUCUAGCAAAGAGCUAGAAACAAGUAUUUCUGCAUUAGUAACAAACCGCGGAGGUAGUUUAAGGGAUUUUUUCAAUACAUAGAUCUUGAGGGAGGCAGUUAUAAUAAAGCAGGAUAAUUAGCAAACUUUCCUAGGUAAUAUAUUCAUAGGACAAGGAAAAUCCUAAUUUCCCCCUUGAAUUUAUUGGCUGGCUAGAGCCAAUUAUAUUUACAUUUUAAACUCACAGAAAAAUAUCAGUAACUACUUUAAAAAAAAAAAAAAAAAACUAGGGAUACAAAUAAUGACAGCAAAAAUCCAUUUUUUUAGAAGUUGGCAAAAAACAGUAUUUUAUGAAAAUAAAAGACAUAGUUUAUCCCAGUGGUUUAAAAUUAACACAAACAUCUUUUAGACACUUAUCCUAUCAUAGCAACAUAUAAUUUAAAACAACUUCCUUCAGAUUUAGAAGCAGUGCUUAAACAGAACUGCUAAUUGACACUUAGUGAGAAACAAUUUAUGGUGUAUUUCAUUUUUCAUUGCUAUAAAACUGGUUUAAAAUAAUGAGGCUCAUGAAGGAUAUGACCCAGACCAUAAAAUGUACUUAUUAGAGUUGUUUGAUAAAUCACGAAGGGGAGAUUCUCACCUCUUAAUAAGUGUAAGGCACUGUGAUGUGACAGCCAGACACAGAGAGGGUGUGGCAGGUGUCCUGGUAGCACGUGGGCCCUCUCUCUCUCUCCAGGUGUUGGAGAACGGUGCGUCUCUGAAUGCCCAGCCACCCUCACUUCCCCUGAUCUUUAAUAUGCAAUCUAGUGUCCAGACACAGUGAAGCUGGAUGCCAGGGUAGGAAAACAACCUAACCAGGGAUCCCAUCUGGGUUCUGUCAGACCCUGAAGAUAGGACCAGCAUCCCCAGGCUUACAGCUUCCUGUAAUCUAGCUAGAAAUGUUCCUCCCAGGGCCAUCCCUGUACAGGAGCCUCAUUCACACAUUCAUAUGCUCAUUCGUCUUUUUGCUUGUUCAUUCCCCAAAUGUGCCUUGAGUAUCUACUUGAACACAGCAGACAUGGUCUCCACCCCUCUGGAGCUUGCAAGGGAGAACGGGGAAGGUGUUAAAUGCAUUGAGGGGGACUACGGAGCACAUGGGAACUCUAUACAAUGGGGACAUGGCAGAGAGGAAGACUCCAAUGAUGAGGGAUCCACGAAGGAUGGGGAGGCAGGGAAUGGGGCACCUGAAUCCCCUAAGGGAGUUGUAAACCCAACUAGAUUGUUUUACUGACCACAGGCGCUGCUAUUCACAAGGUUAUGAGCCAAGAAAGUACCAGCCAUUGCAACCUCAAGGAGCUAUGGAUGUGCUGAGAGCUCAGUAAAUGAGCAGGGACUCAGGGACAGGUCAAACAGGCUGCAGAGGUGGGACCUUUGAGAUCAGAGUCAACUGACUAAGAAUAAAGCAGGCCUGUCUCUUGGAUGGGGUAACUGGGCAGCCACCCUAGGCUUGUAAAAUUUCUGUCUUUAACAAUAUCCCAAGGGUGCAAUAGAAGAUGUCAAUAGUAUGGCCUCCUUUCAAGUGUGUUUCCCAGAGCAGCCCUAGCAUUAGCUGAGUUGCCUGGGAGCCCCAUGCCUUUCUGUCCGUGGCCCUGACUAUAGUGCUAUACAGUGGGUGCUAUCAUGGAUGGGUUUUGCUCAUUUCCUGAACAAAAACAAGAUAACUAGUUGCACCUCAGCAGCCUUGGUUCAGGGAGCAUUUAAGACCUGCCACAACACUGGAAGUUCCAGCAAAUGUCCAGAGAAGCAGGCAAGGGAGAUACAUCUGAGGACCCCUUCCCUUGUCAUUAUCAUAUUACAUAAGCCAUGCCCUUUUCUGUCAUAGACACCCCUUCCUAGAAAGAAACUAUAGAAGACAGAUGAAUAUGAGAGAUUAGGCGUUUUGCCUGAAAAGGAAUAUCAUCCUUAGAGGAUGGUUCACAUUAAGGGAUUGUACUGAGAUUAUGGAAUGGAGUAAAUUUUUUUCCUCACUAGCUGGUGAAUGAGUCCCCUCAUAAUCCACUAAAAAACCAUGCUUCUUUGAAUGUAGUUAAGUAAUUUAUGACCCCACAAUUUGCAUAAUCGAAUAUUAUAUAUCUAUUUAAAAUAAUGAUUCAGGUCUAUAUUUGAUAACUUAGAAAGCUGUCCAUGAUACAUUAGAGUGAAAAAGCAAGUCACAGAACUUUAAGUAUACUUUAAUUCUGUUUAUGUAAAACUGUGUGAGUGUACUCAAGCAUAAAACGAAGUCUGAAAAGGUGUUCACCAAAAUAUUAACAUGGAUUAUCUCUGGAUGAUAAUAUCAGAUGACUUCUUUUUCACUUUCUUCAUACUUUUCUGGAUUGCCUUAAUAUGCUUCUACAGUGAGAAUGCUUUGUUUUUAUAGGAGCUAGGUUAAUUUUAAAAAAACUUAUUAGUAACUUUUGAAAGUGGAAUUCUUAUUUACUUAAUUCCUUGCAGAUUAUUCUUUUUCUUGGAUAGGAAGCCAAAAUACUCUUCAGAGAUGCAUUGCCUAGUUGAGCAACUUCACCAUAGCAGUUUCUGUCUGUUGCUGAGAGGCUACCUGGUAACUUCCUACAGCCAACCAUCCUAUGUGAACUGUAACUUCCCCUUAAGAAAAAAAUAUCUAUCUUUGACAUUAUUGUGGCAGAUCCUCCAGAGAGUCUGAAGACACGGGCUCUUCCUAUAUCCUUGUAACUGAAUUUCUAGGGAAAAAAUAAUUGAUGAAAAUUGUUAAUAUCACUUUACUUUUUUAAAGUACAAAAUAAAGGCUAAGUCGUCAAAAGAAGAGGUGAGAAUUUGAAGAACACUGCUCUUUGGGGAAGGAAGGACACUAGGUUGGGUUGAAUUUGCUUCCUAGCCCAUUCAUGUUUAUUAUCAGGAAUUUGGAAGUCAGCGUCAGAGCAUAACCUUUCCAAUAUUGCAUACCAAGCCGUCAGCACUGGCGUUUCAGAGAGCCUUCCAGGAGCUGGCGGUGAAGCACAGUGACCUAAUCCAAAUCAGAGUGGAAUGAAGUCUUGAAAGCACCAUCCUUCCCUCUCUCGGCUUGGGUAGCAGAAAGCACAUUUACUCAGUGACAAGGAAACAUUGUGUGCUGUGUCCACCGUGUCAUGGAUAUCCUGGUCUAAAGUGACAGGAUAUUGGAAGGAAAUUGUUUUUUAAUCUAAAAUGUGUUUAGAGUUUCUAAACUUAGUUUAGUAUUUUAUGAUUGGAUUUUCUAGAAGAGACACAGGUAGAUUUGAGCCCUGACAAUACGCUGGGCACUUGGAGAGCUAUCUAAGAACAAAUGCCUGCCCCGGCAGUUCAGACACAGGUCCUGGCUCACCCUCCAGCCCCAAACCCUUCCGCUCUCCUCUUUGCUGGCUUGUCUCCGGCUGCACCAGGCUCCAGCCACAACAGGAUUUUUGCUGUUUCUCAAAUACAACAAAUAUGAUCUGAUGAAAGGCAUUUGCUGUUUCCUUUCCUCUGCCUGGAUCUUCUCAGCUCAAACAUCACCUAGCAGAGUCUCCUUCCCUAUAAAGAUAGCACCCUACUCUCUAUGCAGUCACUCCUACACGAGCGUGCCCCUGCUUUAUUUUAUACAUAGCACUUAUUCCUCCCUAAUCUAUUGUGCAUUUGCUUAUUUGUCUACCCCCACCAGAAUGCCAGCUUCAUGAAAAGAACUAUUGUAUGUUUUGUUCACUACAGCGUCCCUAGCACCUAGAGCAGUGCCUGACACAUGGUAGAUAUCCAGUAGGGUUUUGUUGAAAUGAAUGAAUAAAUGAAUGAUUGAAUUCACUUUACCCAAUGCACAUGUUCCCAAGUAAUUGUAUAUAAGUUAAUUAUGAGUGGAAACAUUUUAAAUGCACUAGGAAAAAGUUGUUCAAAUGAAUCCUAUCUUUAACCAAUUCUAUAAAAGGAAUUAUAAUUCCCAG